This 26-nucleotide non-coding RNA is filed under the name Homo sapiens (human). The record is from RNAcentral. Lineage: Eukaryota; Metazoa; Chordata; Mammalia; Primates; Hominidae.
UCUCACACCUGGUCUUGUGUUUGCCA